UACGAAGGGGGCUAGCGUUGUUCGGAUUUACUGGGCGUAAAGCGCACGUAGGCGGAUCGAUCAGUCAGGGGUGAAAGUCCCAGAGCUCAACUCUGGAACUGCCUUUGAUACUGUCGAUCUGGAGUAUGGAAGAGGUGAGUGGAAUUCCGAGUGUAGAGGUGAAAUUCGUAGAUAUUGGGAAGAACACCGGUGGCGAAGGCGGCUCUCUGGGACCGAUACUGACGCUGAGGCGCGAAAGCGUGGGGAGCAAACAGG
This 255-nucleotide ribosomal RNA is filed under the name uncultured bacterium. Its description in RNAcentral is "partial 16S ribosomal RNA". It matches the Rfam family "Bacterial small subunit ribosomal RNA", at positions 524 to 776 of the family's 1533-position model. The record is from RNAcentral.